ACGGAAGGCAGCAGUGGGGGAUAUUGCACAAUGGGGGAAACCCUGAUGCAGCGACGCCGCGUGAGCGAAGAAGUAUUUCGGUAUGUAAAGCUCUAUCAGCAGGGAAGAAAAUGACGGUACCUGACUAAGAAGCUCCGGCUAAAUACGUGCCAGCAGCCGCGGUAAUACGUAUGGAGCAAGCGUUAUCCGGAUUUACUGGGUGUAAAGGGAGCGUAGACGGUUUGCCAAGUCUGAUGUGAAAGGUGGGGGCUUAACCCCCAAACUGCAUUGGAAACUGGUAGACUAGAGUGUCGGAGAGGUAAGUGGAAUUCCUAGUGUAGCGGUGAAAUGCGUAGAUAUUAGGAGGAACACCAGUGGCGAAGGCGGCUUACUGGACGAUAACUGACGUUGAGGCUCGAAAGCGUGGGGAGCAAACAGGAUUAGAUACCCUGGUA
Molecule: ribosomal RNA, 434 nt
Filed under: uncultured Lachnospiraceae bacterium
Lineage: Bacteria; Bacillati; Bacillota; Clostridia; Lachnospirales; Lachnospiraceae
Description: partial 16S ribosomal RNA
Rfam family: Bacterial small subunit ribosomal RNA
Source: RNAcentral